UGUGAAAUGACAAAACAUUACAAAGUCAUGCAAACAUUACAUUUGAGUCAAAUAUUGUGUAGUGUUGAUUGACAAUGUAGGCUGUGAGGGGAGGAUAGCGGUUGUAUAUUGAAGGGAAAAUAUAUAAUUUCUCAGUAUAUAUAAACCAUAUGCAAUCUACUGUACAUAGUAUGUACAUGUAAAAACAGACCGAACACUUUCACAAAAACUUUACUUUGUAAAAAAAAAGAAGAUGAAUCUGAAAUAAAUCAAUACCUUUUGAAGGGGAUUCCUGGUUCUGAUUCUGGUUAUUAAAAUUAACUAAAACAAAUGGUGUUUAUAUUAAACUAUAUUGAUCACAGCUCUCUUGUUUGUAGGGGACUCUGAUUUAAUGAAACAUAAAACCAGCCCAUUCUCUUAUGGAAUACGCCAGAAGGUGCCGAUUCUGCAGGUUCCAGAUUACAUUUGGACCUGGCGAAAUGUGGAAGCUAUACAGUCCACUAGGGGCAAUGUGAGCGCCUAUUAACGUUACUUAGGGGCGGCAGGUAGCCUAGUGGUUAGAGCAUUGGAUUAGUAACCGAAAGGUUGCAAAAUCGAAUCUUUGAGCUGACACGGUAAAUAUGUGUUGUUCUUGCCCCUGAACAAGGCAGUUAACCCACUGUUCCUAGGCCUUCAUUGAAAAUAAGAAUUUGUUCUUAACUGACUUGCCUACUUAAAUAAAGGUAAAAUAAAAACAUUUAAAAAAAUGACCGUCGAGUAGGAUUGCAGCUUGCUAGGGGAUGGUGGAUGGGCCUUUAAACUGCAGACUCCCACUCCGAGGGUCACGUAUUCAAUCCCAGUGGUAGGCACUAUUGGUGCGCUGGUCAGCUGGUUGUUCAUCUCUGCACUCUCUCGCAAUUACUAAUAACCCAUCUGCAUCCGCCUGACUACAGUUGAUAAAGUGAAAACCUGUGGCCUGCACCCGACACUAACCUGCUAAUAUAGAAAAUGCGCUGUAGGCUACAGUCAGAGACCUUAUUUAAAUAGGUUUCUAGGCUAGGGAUCAGGGAUCAAAUCCAUAACAUUUUUAUAAAAAACGGGAUUUUCUGUGCAAAAUCUCCAAAUGACAUCAGUUUGACUGGUUGUAAGGAAAUUGAAAGAUAUGAAAACAACCCAAACUGUUUCUGAUAAGAUUUCAGUUCGGCUUGGAUGCAAAUUUUAUGUGGUUGAAAUACUAUCAGCUUUCAUGAUGCUGAUAAAGACAGCACCUCCACAGUCAUUUUGCAUUCUCUCUGAAAUAAAUAAAUCCUAUUUCUCUGCUCCUUAGUCAAAACGUGUCCUGUGUAUAAUUUCACUGCAAGAAAUGCUUAAUUCAGUAGGAGUUCAUGUUAAGACUAUCAAAUCAAAUUGUAUUUGUCACAUGCGCCGAAUACAACAGGUAGACCUUACCGUGAAAUGCUUACUUACAAGCCCUUAACCAACAAUGCAGCUCAAGAAAUAGAGUUAAGAAAAUAUUAAUACUAAAUUACCUAAAGUUUAAAAAAAUAAAGUAACACAAUA
RNAcentral lists this long non-coding RNA (1518 nucleotides) under Salmo salar (Atlantic salmon). Its description in RNAcentral is "lncRNA (ENSSSAG00000095499.1)". Lineage: Eukaryota; Metazoa; Chordata; Actinopteri; Salmoniformes; Salmonidae. The record is from RNAcentral.